Panthera pardus (leopard) is the source of this 321-nucleotide unclassified non-coding RNA. Its record names the gene 7SK. It matches the Rfam family "7SK RNA". Rfam says of the family: 7SK was discovered as an abundant small nuclear RNA in the mid-70s but a possible function has only recently been suggested. Two independent studies have found that 7SK RNA binds the CDK9/cyclin T complex (known as elongation factor P-TEFb). NCBI's taxonomy places the organism in Eukaryota, Metazoa, Chordata, Mammalia, Carnivora, Felidae. The record is from Ensembl.
GGAUGUGAAGGUGAUCUGGCUGCGACAUCUGUCACCCCACUGACAGCCAGGGUUGAUUUGGCUGAUCUGGCUGGCUAGGCGGGUGUGUCCCCUUCCUCCCUCGUGGCUCGAUGUGUGUCCCUCCAGAAGCUGCGUGCUUGGUGGAAGAGGAUGACCUUCCCUGAUACAGGUGGACCGUUCUUCAGCCAAGUGUAUAGGGGUAGCUGCUCUCUCCUGCUAGGAUCUCCAAACAAGCUCUUAAAAGCAGGAGAGGGAGACAGUGGAGUUGGAGAAUAUGUGGUAACAGAAGCAGAGGCCAGAGCACAAAUGAUGGCUGGUUGC